This 118-nucleotide ribosomal RNA is filed under the name Olea europaea subsp. europaea. Lineage: Eukaryota; Viridiplantae; Streptophyta; Magnoliopsida; Lamiales; Oleaceae. The record is from RNAcentral.
UUCAACGACUGCGCCACGAUGAAUACACCGGUUCUCGACCGAUUACUGAAGUUAAUUGACGUCGGGCGUGGUCAGUAUUCAGAUGCGUGACCGUCUGGGAGAUCACAUAUUGUUGUUU